CCAUAGAUAAAACAGGAAGAAAAUUACUCAUUGACAGUAUCUGAAGCAACAAGGCAAUGCUAUAGGAUUUAUCAGCCUUAGUAUGGGCUGUGACUAAAUACCAAAUGCGGAAAUUACAGAAAGAGUCAUAAUAAAGUCUCUCUAGAAAAGACGUCAUUCUUUAUCUUGAAAUUUUAAUAUUUAAUGCAUUUUCAGCAGUAAGGCAAGGACCCCAGAUGAAAGAUAGCCUGAAAUAUGUGCAUUGUUAAUGACCAAAUCUAGGGGUUCUGUCAUUUUUUUUCUUUAAGGAUCCACUAAAUCCAUGUAACAAUGGCAGGUUGUUACAGUAAACAGAGAUGGAAAGAUAUACGUGAUACAUGGGUAUCAAAAUAGCACAGAGGCCCAGCAGGAGCCCAGAUUCAAAAAUUAGCAAUGGGUGGAUCUUUUAUGGACUAUGGCCAUCUGUGUUCAUCUUACACAACCAUCCUCUCACCAGGACUAACAUGAAAAAACUUAAAGUUUUAAGGUGUCCAAAGAUCAUUCUAGAAAUCCAUCCCU
This 537-nucleotide long non-coding RNA is filed under the name Homo sapiens (human). Its description in RNAcentral is "non-protein coding lnc-PHYHIPL-4:1". Lineage: Eukaryota; Metazoa; Chordata; Mammalia; Primates; Hominidae. The record is from RNAcentral.